AAUAGGUUGGGACUGGCAGUACCCUGGGACUGGCAGGCUCUUCCUUGGAACUCUCAGUCAUUCCUCUAAAGACCAUGAUUUUGAGACCCUGGGGCCUUGCUAUACACUCAGACUGCCACACAGUGAAGGAGAAUAUAUAGCAAAUGCAAAGUGAGAAAUCCUUUCUCUUUACAUGCUGGACUCAGGUGUGGCUGUGCUGGAUCAACAGCAGAACUCAGAACUCCCUACCAGGUGUGGCACAGAGCUGCUCACGACAUGGUAAGGAGGAAGGAUAGUUUAACUGAGACUUCAUUUUCCCUCUAUUAUUUGUUCUCUGUGUUGCUGUACUGCUGCAGUCACACUGAGUGCUAUUCUGCCAGAUACCAUUUGGGCAGGAAUUCCGAGUUCUAGAUCUCUGGAAAUCCCAGCAUGAGCUAACUAAAAUGUUUCAGUUUUGAAAACAAUUAUGGUUCGAGCCCAUUUGAGUUCCCAGGAAUCUCUCAAGUGAGCACUGGAGCAAAUGCUCAGGACAGGCUCAAAGAGCACUU
Myiozetetes cayanensis is the source of this 527-nucleotide long non-coding RNA. RefSeq lists it as uncharacterized. The record is from RefSeq and is a predicted model, not a curated record. The transcript is spliced from 3 exons. NCBI's taxonomy places the organism in Eukaryota, Metazoa, Chordata, Aves, Passeriformes, Tyrannidae.